RNAcentral lists this unclassified non-coding RNA (406 nucleotides) under soil metagenome. RNAcentral's name for it is "partial contains 5.8S ribosomal RNA, internal transcribed spacer 2, and large subunit ribosomal RNA". The stretch from base 1 to 121 matches the Rfam family "5.8S ribosomal RNA", at positions 35 to 154 of the family's 154-position model. The record is from RNAcentral.
GAUGAAGAACGUAGUGAAAUGCGAUAAGUAAUGUGAAUUGCAGAAUUCAGUGAAUCAUCGAAUCUUUGAACGCACCUUGCGCCCUUUGGCCAUUCCGAAGGGCAUGCCUGUUUGAGUAUCAUGAACACCUCAACUCUUCAUGGUUUUCCGUGAUGAGCUUGGACUUUGGGGGUCUUGCUGGCCUAUGGUCAGCUCCUCUAAAAUAAAUCAGCUUGCCAGUGUUUGGUGUGUAUCACAGGUGUGAUAACUAUCUACGCUUGUGGUUUUCCACCAGGUAACCUUCAGCAGUGGAGGUUCGCUGGAGCUCACAGAUGUGUCUCUCCUCAGUGAGGACAGCUCUUUGAAUGUUUGAUCUCAAAUCAGGUAGGACUACCCGCUGAACUUAAGCAUAUCAAUAAGCGGAGGA